AGCGAACGCUGGCGGCAGGCCUAACACAUGCAAGUCGAACGAACUCUUCGGAGUUAGUGGCGGACGGGUGAGUAACACGUAGGAACGUGCCCUUUGGUUCGGAAUAACUCAGGGAAACUUGUGCUAAUACCGAAUGUGCCCUUCGGGGGAAAGAUUUAUCGCCAUUAGAGCGGCCCGCGUCUGAUUAGCUAGUUGGUGAGGUAACGGCUCACCAAGGCGACGAUCAGUAGCUGGUCUGAGAGGAUGACCAGCCACACUGGGACUGAGACACGGCCCAGACUCCUACGGGAAGCAGCAGUGGGGAAUCUUGCGCAAUGGGCGAAAGCCUGACGCAGCCAUGCCGCGUGAAUGAUGAAGGUCUUAGGAUUGUAAAAUUCUUUCACCGGGGACGAUAAUGACGGUACCCGGAGAAGAAGCCCCGGCUAACUUCGUG
RNAcentral lists this ribosomal RNA (433 nucleotides) under uncultured bacterium. Its description in RNAcentral is "partial 16S ribosomal RNA". It matches the Rfam family "Bacterial small subunit ribosomal RNA", at positions 29 to 507 of the family's 1533-position model. The record is from RNAcentral.